AUCUCUUCCAUCAAUCAGAGCUCAAGAAUUUACUGAUUUGAAAUGGCAAGGAUGUACCGGAAGUUGGCACUCUGCGGUGGUGAAGGAGGAAAGGAAUGGGACGACGAUGUAUAUGAGGGUGUAAAAAAAGUGUAUGUAGGGCAAGAUCUCAACCGUAUCACUUACAUCAAAUUUGAGUACGUGAAGGAAGACAGCGAAGUAGUAACAACUUUAUAUGGGACAAUAAAUCAACACCCUAAAGAUGUUCUCAUUUGCGAUACUAAAAAAAUUACUGUUGUGAAUUCGAUAAACGUUGGAUUAAUCCUUUAAGGCAUAAACAAGAAGGAGCAAGUAUUCUUGAGGCGGAAUAA
Molecule: long non-coding RNA, 350 nt
Organism: Arabidopsis lyrata subsp. lyrata
Lineage: Eukaryota; Viridiplantae; Streptophyta; Magnoliopsida; Brassicales; Brassicaceae
Exons: 2
Source: RefSeq, a predicted model, not a curated record